Molecule: non-coding RNA, 370 nt
Organism: Styela clava
Lineage: Eukaryota; Metazoa; Chordata; Ascidiacea; Stolidobranchia; Styelidae
Source: RefSeq, a predicted model, not a curated record
GUAAUUCUGAUACGAAACUUCUGUCAAGUUUGCCUCGAAUACCCAACGAGGCGAGGUCCUCCCGAUUUUCAGACAACGGUUACCUGGACCAACCUUUCCUAUUCCUUAGAACAUAUCAAAUUAUUUUGAAACUCCUACUCUUAACCUGGUUCUUCGUUUAAAAUGAUGAAUUCAACAAUCCUCAUUCUACUACUUGUUCUCAUCAGCUUUGGUGAUGCUUCUAGAAGACGUCGUUACUAUAGUAGACGUCGUUCCUACAGCUCUUACAUUCAUCACCACCAUCAUCACCACCACCAUCAUCACUACUCCUGCGGAGAUGAAGAAGGAGUUGACGGUGCAAAGAUUAUCACAGAUCAACUAGAGAAUCAAG